AGUUUGCCCAGAUUUGCCAGAGCCCUAAAUAAAAUGGCAAAACGAUCUCCCUGCCUGCUUCUCCUCCCCACCCCCACUUACAUGCACACCGUAAAUCAAGAAAUGCUUUUUGGGCAAUUAGACUUUAUCUUCUAAAUUUUUGCAUAGAAUGGCUAAACAUGAUCUUUUGCCUCACUUUGUAAUUCCUACACCUUCCUUGUAAGCUUCACCUUUUGCUUACCUAAUAUUUUAUUUAAACAUGGUUUUUUAAAAAACCUGAAGCUUUAAAAUCAUAGUCAUAAUUAAUUUUACACUAAAGGACAGAAGAAAUUAUACAACACAUAAAAGAAGCCACUACUUCACAUAGCAAGCAAAUUGAAAUCAAAAUGACAGAAGAAUGAGAAAUUCUUUAAAAGCUUCAGGUUUUUUUUGUUGUUGUUGUUAAAUUCCUGCAUGAUGCAUCAUGUGCAAGGGAAACUUAAUAUACUUUUACACCCUUAACCUUUAUAAAGUGACUAGCUUUUCCCUUAACAUAGGAAUUUUUAACCUGGAGCCCAGAUUUUUGAGAGUACACACAAAAUUGUGGGUUUGUGUGCAUGUACAUAUGUCCAUUUUUUUCUAGGGAGAAGAUCCAUAGUUAUUAGAUUUGUGAAGGAUUUGGUGAUCCCCUUCUCCCAUCAAAAAAAAAAAAAAAAAGAACAGCUGCCUUGAAAUGUUUUUAGUGCCACUUUAGGGAAUAGAGUCCUGUACUGAAUGAUUUUAGUUGUAUGAUGAAUUAUAAGUGCCUCUUUAUUUUCUCUAAGAUUGCAUUAGAAAAUAUUUUUUUCUGACUAAUAAUGCUUUCCUUUUCAUUCUAUUAUUGAAUUUUGGUUUUCCAUGUGUUACUUUUGUGUACUCUCCCCUUAUUUCAACAAAGCAUUAAUUAAAUAUUUGAGUACCUAUUCUGUAUAGUGACUUGAACUAGAUCUUUAGAGAUACAAGGUUGAAUAAAAUACAGACCCUAUCAUCAAGGAUAAUUCUAGUGACAAUUAUAUUUCACAUUAUUUCUGUCAGGUCUUGAUAAUAUUUUAAUCACAGGAACCACCAUAGCAGUCCAGACUCAUUUUAUUAUUUAUCAUCUCUCAGUAACUGCUCCGACAGUGGCAACAAAGGGUAUUGAAUACUUAUAUUUCAAAUUUUAAAAUUUAUGAUAAUUUGGAGGGAGGUGAAAAAACCUUACUAGGAAAGACAAACAUUCAUUAUUCUACGUGUGUGUGAGCUCAUGUCUCUUACUCUUAGCAUCCUGGGAAUUAAGUACAGCCUUCUGUGUAGGUGUUCCUUUAAAGAAAACAACUUUAAUGCAUUUUACCUCUGCACAUUUCCACUGACAUGACUCCUAUUUGUACAGUGUUCCGAGCACUGUCAAGACUGCCAGAGCUCUGGCACAGGUCCAUAGGUACUCCCACGGAGGCAUUGCCUCAGAAAGACAAGAGAAAGGAACAAAUUGCAGUUGCUUUGAAAUCUUACAGUGGCCUAUAGGGGUUGGGAUAGGGCAGUAAGGAGAUCCAGCUGAGGUAUUCAGGGACUGGUAAGCUUGGAUAAGUGUGUUUAAAGCCUUGAAAACCAGAAGAAGAGUUUAGUCUUGAUGUGAAUGUGGUCAGUGGUAGAGAACUAUAGGUUCUUAGCAAAAAUGUAGUUUGAACAUAGCAUUUUAAGAACAGUAAUGGGGUAAUAGAUUUGAUUGCAAUUAGGACCGGUUAGAAAGUAAUUCCAGUAGUAUGCCAUUGCUGGCCAGUGCAAAUAAGUUGGCCUAGACUAGCACAGUAGUGGUUGGAAUGGAGAAGAACUAUGAAUUAG
This 1815-nucleotide long non-coding RNA is filed under the name Homo sapiens (human). RNAcentral's name for it is "non-protein coding lnc-WDR91-3:1". Lineage: Eukaryota; Metazoa; Chordata; Mammalia; Primates; Hominidae. The record is from RNAcentral.